RNAcentral lists this ribosomal RNA (370 nucleotides) under uncultured crenarchaeote. Its description in RNAcentral is "bacterial SSU rRNA". It matches the Rfam family "Archaeal small subunit ribosomal RNA", at positions 83 to 442 of the family's 1478-position model. Lineage: Archaea; Thermoproteati; Thermoproteota. The record is from RNAcentral.
AAAUCAUAAACACAUUUUUAACUUAUCAGGAGACCAGGUCAAUCCCGGGAAAAAAAGUCAUAAUCCGCGAGGCGUUCUGUCAUCUGGAAGGAGAGAUGGCUAAAAAGGGUAUGCGGGCUUGUUUCACGCAUCUGCUCCAGGAUGGGACUGCGUCCGAUCAGGCUGUUGGCGGGGUAAUGGCCCACCAAACCAGUAACCGGUACGGGCCUUGAGAGAGGUGGCCCGGAGAUGGACACUGAGAGAAGGGUCCAGGUCCUACGGGGCGCAGCAGGCGCGAAGCCUUCGCAAUGCGCGAAAGCGGGACGAGGAAAUGCGAGGGACUGCCGGUGAGGCGCCGAUGUCAGCUGUAAAUAGGCAGGCGAAUAACUGU